GCCUAGGAAUCUGCCUAGUGGUGGGGGAUAACGUUCGGAAACGGACGCUAAUACCGCAUACGUCCUACGGGAGAAAGCGGGGGAUCUUCGGACCUCGCGCCAUUAGAUGAGCCUAGGUCGGAUUAGCUAGUUGGUGAGGUAAUGGCUCACCAAGGCGACGAUCCGUAACUGGUCUGAGAGGAUGAUCAGUCACACUGGAACUGAGACACGGUCCAGACUCCUACGGGAGGCAGCAGUGGGGAAUAUUGGACAAUGGGCGAAAGCCUGAUCCAGCCAUGCCGCGUGUGUGAAGAAGGUCUUCGGAUUGUAAAGCACUUUAAGUUGGGAGGAAGGGUUGUAGAUUAAUACUCUGCAAUUUUGACGUUACCGACAGAAUAAGCACCGGCUAACUUCGUGCCAGCAGCCGCGGUAAUACGAAGGGUGCAAGCGUUAAUCGGAAUUACUGGGCGUAAAGCGCGCGUAGGUGGUUCGUUAAGUUGGAUGUGAAAGCCCCGGGCUCAACCUGGGAACUGCAUCCAAAACUGGCGAGCUAGAGUACGGUAGAGGGUGGUGGAAUUUCCUGUGUAGCGGUGAAAUGCGUAGAUAUAGGAAGGAACACCAGUGGCGAAGGCGACCACCUGGACUGAUACUGACACUGAGGUGCGAAAGCGUGGGGAGCAAACAGGAUUAGAUACCCUGGUAGUCCACGCCGUAAACGAUGUCAACUAGCCGUUGGGUUCCUUGAGAACUUA
RNAcentral lists this ribosomal RNA (731 nucleotides) under Pseudomonas sp. RNAcentral describes it as "bacterial SSU rRNA". It matches the Rfam family "Bacterial small subunit ribosomal RNA", at positions 115 to 842 of the family's 1533-position model. The record is from RNAcentral. Lineage: Bacteria; Pseudomonadati; Pseudomonadota; Gammaproteobacteria; Pseudomonadales; Pseudomonadaceae.